RNAcentral lists this small nuclear RNA (312 nucleotides) under Pan troglodytes (chimpanzee). Its description in RNAcentral is "7SK RNA (ENSPTRG00000035656.2)". It matches the Rfam family "7SK RNA". From Rfam's summary of the family: 7SK was discovered as an abundant small nuclear RNA in the mid-70s but a possible function has only recently been suggested. Two independent studies have found that 7SK RNA binds the CDK9/cyclin T complex (known as elongation factor P-TEFb). P-TEFb activates transcription by phosphorylating the C-terminal domain of RNA polymerase II. The record is from RNAcentral. Lineage: Eukaryota; Metazoa; Chordata; Mammalia; Primates; Hominidae.
GAAUGUAAAGGCUAUCUGGCUGCGACAUCUGUCACCUCAUUGAUCGCCAGGGUUGACUCGGCUGAUCUGGCUGGCUAGGUAGGUGUCCCCUUUCUCCCUCACCGCAGCUUCAGGAGGGAUGCACCUGGAGCUGUGCUGCCCUGCUAGAACCUCAAAACAAGCUCUCAAGAAAAAAAAAAAAAACAUAAUUCUCAAAAGUAUAACUUUUGUGAACACAUCAGAGAGUAGAUGUUAUAGGACAGCUGGGUAUAAAAUAGAAGGAAUGACAGUUAUUCUCAGGGUGAGCCAGGAUGAACACUGGCUCAGCCCUGG